RNAcentral lists this ribosomal RNA (48 nucleotides) under Stagonosporopsis cucurbitacearum. RNAcentral describes it as "partial 28S ribosomal RNA". RNAcentral also lists the same sequence under 5 other names. Lineage: Eukaryota; Fungi; Ascomycota; Dothideomycetes; Pleosporales; Didymellaceae. The record is from RNAcentral.
UCUUGACCUCGGAUCAGGUAGGGAUACCCGCUGAACUUAAGCAUAUCA